UUAAAGUUUCUUUUGAGCCGAGUCCUCCACUCAUCCGCCACGAUCGGAUCGGAACUCCCCGUGAAGUGCUUUGUUCCCAACUUCGAGACGUGCGCGAGUAAACUCAAGUAGUCUCCCCUCUUCCUUGAAGAGUUCGUAGGCAGAUUGACUUCAACAAUCUCCACAUCUACGUCUGCAUCCGCGUCCGUUUUGUUCUCCUUCACUUGUACCAUAGGAUCCGGUACGAGUGCCUUAGUCAAUGCGGCCAUUUGUGCCAUCAUGGCCUUCAUCGUAUCCCAUUG
RNAcentral lists this long non-coding RNA (281 nucleotides) under Arabidopsis lyrata. RNAcentral's name for it is "long non-coding RNA (ALYR_LNC003362)". Lineage: Eukaryota; Viridiplantae; Streptophyta; Magnoliopsida; Brassicales; Brassicaceae. The record is from RNAcentral.